AGGUGAGGGGGGCGGGGCCGGCGCGACCGGCGGGGCGGGGCGGACACUCCCACCGCGCACCUGCUUCUGCCUGACGUGUACCCGGAAGGUCGUCAGCUCAGGCUCCAAAUAUGUAACAGUGAGUUUCUAAGUGAGUCACACGGACGCGGUUGGUUUCCAGUGAGGCAUAACUCAUCGCUUCACUCUUCUCAACGGUUCCCUCUUCGGAAGGAAGCGCAGUCCGCAGCGUCGUCCGAGGGCGUGAUCGCCUGCGUCGCACCCGCGUCUCCAGUGGCCACCCCUUGUCCUACAGGAACGCGCAUCUGCUUAGCAGGCGCUGAGCCCUUGAGGAGGCCUAAAAUGAAUGAACGCGGCUGUGCCUCCUGAGCAGGCUCACAGUUGUGGGUGGGGGACAGAAGGGUGUCCAUGCCUAAGGUCGACGGCGAUAAGACAGACGUUCUUCCCAGGAGGAGAUCAGUUCCAGAACAGGUGGAGAGGUAUGAAGAACGAGGAACACUGCCCGGGGAGUUUCUUCCUCUGCAAAAUAAGGGAGUGUGUACUGAAUUACCGUUUCCAGCUCCAACAUCCAGGAUUUCAGCACUACCUGCAGAGUAGUGGGAGGAGAGAUAGCUCCUGAGGUUGACCAGAUGCCCCUAGCAGCUCUGGGCUGCACCUUUGUGUCCAAGUCUUGGUUCCAGGAAGAACUCUGAGCAGAUUGCUCCUGUUGGCUGGUGCAGUUGGCUGGUGUUCCUGUUGGCAGGUGGCAUAGCACAAGAUUGGGCUGCCAGAAUGAGGAAGAAGUGAAGAUAAGAAACCACUCGAAGCCGGUGUCUGGUGCUGGGACCGUGGUGGCUGGGACGGCAGCAGUCGUGCUGUCCAUCUGCUCUUCCGAGGGGUGGCACAUCCUAGCCUCUAUCUUUUCCCCAGAGAAGAUCCCCCUCGUCUGCUCUUCCCCCGUCUCAGCCUUUUAGUGUGUGAACAGUUCUGGUGUUACUCAGCAACGCUUUUGUUAGCGCCUUUACCAGCAAGUACUUGUUAAACACUUAAAUCUUACAAGUGGAAAGAAAAUUCCGUGGUAAAUUUAAGUACAAAAGUCAACCAAAAUUCUGAGUCUCGGACAAGACUGGUUAAAAAUCGUUCUACAAUGAAACUAAUAAAUUAAAUCAUAUAAAACUUU
Molecule: long non-coding RNA, 1156 nt
Filed under: Homo sapiens (human)
Lineage: Eukaryota; Metazoa; Chordata; Mammalia; Primates; Hominidae
Description: long intergenic non-protein coding RNA 2901
Source: RNAcentral